UGUCAUUGGUUGCUUUUCUGGGUUAAGUAAACCCAAAAACAUCAACGACUUCAUGCGUGAUUUUUGUACAGAGGCCAAAUCACUUAAAUAAAACGGAAUUAAAGUGGGUUCCAUGGCAGUUUUAAAACCAUUUAAUAUUCGUGUUUUUAUUUGCGAUUGUCCAGCCAGGGCUUAUGUAACAGGAGUAAUAGGUCACAAUGGAAAAAACGGAUGUCCUAAGUGUAGCGCAGAAGGACUUUAUAAGGAGAGAAGAGUUUGCUUUCCGAAAAAGGUUGGUCUACCCAGGUCAGAUAAGUCCUUCGCAAUGAGAGCCAGUACUUUUCAUCACCUUACUCAGUUUAAGGAAACAAAAAGUGUUUUAGAGGAAGCGGGAUUCGGCAUGGUUUCCCAAUUUCCACUCGAUUCCAUGCAUUUGGUGGAUUUAGGCGCAGUUAAGAAAUUGCUGAAACUGUUUAUUACGGGUAAAAAAUGCAAUAUUAAAAGAAUCAAUGAUAAACUUACUUUUGUCGCACAAUUUGUUCCGUCUGAAUUUGGUCGUCUUCCCAGGAGCUUAGAUGAAGUUUCUAAUUGGAAGCCAACUGAAUUUAGACAGUUUUUGCUCUACACUGGAAUAUUUGUUUUAAAGGAUUGUAUAAGUGAAGAUUCUUAUUAUCAUUUCCUGUUAUUACACAGUGCUAUUAGACUUCUUUCUAGUGAAAAGUCCUGUAGAAGAGAGACCGGUAUUGCCCGAAAAAUGUUGCAAGAUUUCGUUACUUUUUUUGGAACUUUAUAUGGCGAUGAGAAAGUAAGUUUUAAUAUUCAUGGGUUACUCCACUUGCCUGACUCUGUUGAUGAAUUAGGUCCAUUAGACUCGUUUUCCGCGUACAAAUAUGAAAAUUUCAUGCAGCUUUUAAAAAAAAUUAUUAAAAAUCCUCAUAAUAUACUCCAGCAAUUGUUUCUGAGGAUUCAAGAACGGCAAGGAUCAGAAAUGUAUUUCAAAACUUUGAAUGACUUUGGUUCAUUCACUUUGGAUGAUAAAAAAGAGAAAUACAGCUAUUUUUUUGUGAGAAGAAAGGCCCAAUCAAAGUUAUAAAAGUCACAAAAUCAGGAGAAUCAGACAGAGUUCUGUGUAGAUAUUUUCAGAAAAUCGAGAGCUUCUUUUUGGAACCUAUUACUUCGUCUUCAGGUCUGUGAAUAGUGGUUACAAGUGUUUUAGCCUCGGAAACGGUGGAAAUAUUAAGGAAUGAAAUUACUUAUAAGUACUUUUGUAUUCCUUUUAAUGAAAAGUUUUUGCUCAUAACCUUAUUACACCAUUUGUUUCACGACUUUUCCAAUUUUGCUACACAUUCAAAUUAAAUUAAAUUUUUGCUACCAUUUAAUAUGAAUAUAAUAUAAUAUAUGAACCAUAAUAAUAAUAUGUAUGAUAUGAUCCAUGAUAAUAAUAUGAACCAUGCACAUGGAUUCAAGCAAUAUUCUUGAUGAGUCGUUUUGUGAGGAGUCUCCAGUCGAAAGUAAGUGGAAUGUAUGAAAAAUGUUUCAUCACAUAAUUCCAUCGUUCUUUAUUUUAGUGGGCCAAUCCCUUAUAAAGAAGAGGUGCUACGACACCAAUGUUGAAGCGGCAGGUGUAAGCCAAGUUUGCUCUCCGAGUGAUGGUAAGUGCCUAUUGAAAAAACUAUGUAAAUAACACUUACGAUUUUAGUAUUAAUUCUUGAAAAUCAUUAAAGAUAUUAACGCGAAGCUGGACACCAAUGUUUAAGAAGAGGAAGCGGCAGGUGUAAGCCAAGUUUGCUCUCCGAGUGAUGGUAAGUGCCUAUUUUAAAAAACUAUGUAACUAACACUUACGAUUUUAAUAUUAAUUCUUGAAAAUCAUUAAAGAUAUAAACGCGAAGCUGGACAUCAUUCUUAAUAACCAAAAAGCCAUAUGGGAUACUUUGCAGACAAGCAUCAAUAACCAAGCAAAGUUGUCAACAAAUCAGGCGGAGCUGGAGAAGAAAUUCAUAUCACUCCAAAUGAAUGUAAGUGUUGUUUUGUGAAAAAUAAGAAUUUAUGAACAUAUGAGUACUCGAUUUUGCAGGCAGUCGAAAACGCGGAAUUUCUCGCUCUAGCGAAAUCAGCACGC
Molecule: unclassified non-coding RNA, 2098 nt
Filed under: Rhagoletis pomonella (apple maggot)
Lineage: Eukaryota; Metazoa; Arthropoda; Insecta; Diptera; Tephritidae
Description: uncharacterized LOC118736636, transcript variant X5
Source: RNAcentral